Alosa sapidissima (American shad) is the source of this 350-nucleotide long non-coding RNA. RefSeq lists it as uncharacterized. Lineage: Eukaryota; Metazoa; Chordata; Actinopteri; Clupeiformes; Clupeidae. The record is from RefSeq and is a predicted model, not a curated record. The transcript is spliced from 3 exons.
UUAGUGCAAGAACAUGGGAUCCACGGAGAAGACGGGAGCAGUUUGCUCCAUACCUAAACAUUCGUAUUGGUUUGACUUUUGGCUUUUCCUGUUGUUUGACAUCGUAUUCUUUCUUGUUAUGCAUUUCAUCGUUCCAUGACGGCAGGCGUGUUAUGGAUCGCCAGGACCAAAGAUUGUUGAUGAACGUCGCUAAGAAACCCGGGAAUGAAGUCUACCUUUGCCCUCUGCUUUCACCAGAUCUGUGGCCAAGAUAACCUGUCAUUCAUUCAUUCACUCGUUCAUUUGUUUAUUAAUUUAUACAUUCAUUCAGUGGAAAUUGUUUACACAUGAAAACGAUUUCCUUUCAUUUA